This 64-nucleotide microRNA precursor is filed under the name Ptychodera flava. RNAcentral describes it as "Pfl-Mir-4820_pre stem-loop". Lineage: Eukaryota; Metazoa; Hemichordata; Enteropneusta; Ptychoderidae. The record is from RNAcentral.
GGCUACAGCAUGGUUGUAUCAAUGCUGCAAAAUAGCUCCGAUUGAGCUUCCUUGCUGUAGACAU